CCCCUAGAUGUUCUGGGCCGCACGCGCGCUACACUGAACAGUUCAACAAGUCUUAACCUUGGCCGAUAGGUCUGGGUAAUCUUUGAACGCUGUUCGUGAUUGGGAUAGACCUUUGCAAUUAUGGGUCUUCAACGAGGAAUUCCUAGUAAACGCAAGUCAUCAGCUUGCAUUGAUUACGUCCCUGCCCUUUGUACACACCGCCCGUCGCACCUACCGAUUGAAUGGUCCGGUGAAAUCUCGGGACGGCGGCUUGGUCGCUUGCGUCCGACUGCUGAAACUUGAUUAAACCAUAACAUUUAGAGGAAGGUGAAGUCGUANCA
This 320-nucleotide ribosomal RNA is filed under the name uncultured eukaryote. Its description in RNAcentral is "partial 18S ribosomal RNA". It matches the Rfam family "Eukaryotic small subunit ribosomal RNA", at positions 1470 to 1796 of the family's 1831-position model. The record is from RNAcentral.